UGGGGAAUUCUGGACAAUGGGCGAAAGCCUGAUCCAGCCAUGCCGCGUGCAGGAUGAAGGCCUUCGGGUUGUAAACUGCUUUUGUACGGAACGAAAAGACUCUGGUUAAUACCUGGGGGUCCAUGACGGUACCGUAAGAAUAAGCACCGGCUAACUACGUGCCAGCAGCCGCGGUAAUACGUAGGGUGCAAGCGUUAAUCGGAAUUACUGGGCGUAAAGCGUGCGCAGGCGGUUAUAUAAGACAGAUGUGAAAUCCCCGGGCUCAACCUGGGAACUGCAUUUUGUGACUGUAUAGCUAGAGUACGGCAGAGGGGGAUGGAAUUCCGCGUGUAGCAGUGAAAUGCGUAGAUAUGCGGAGGAACACCGAUGGCGAAGGCAAUCCCCUGGGCCUGUACUGACGCUCAUGCACGAAAGCGUGGGGAGCAAACAGGAUUAGAUACCCUGG
RNAcentral lists this ribosomal RNA (445 nucleotides) under uncultured bacterium. RNAcentral describes it as "partial 16S ribosomal RNA". It matches the Rfam family "Bacterial small subunit ribosomal RNA", at positions 355 to 790 of the family's 1533-position model. The record is from RNAcentral.